RNAcentral lists this unclassified non-coding RNA (255 nucleotides) under Basidiomycota sp. RNAcentral describes it as "partial contains small subunit ribosomal RNA, internal transcribed spacer 1, and 5.8S ribosomal RNA". The stretch from base 1 to 47 matches the Rfam family "Eukaryotic small subunit ribosomal RNA", at positions 1785 to 1831 of the family's 1831-position model. The record is from RNAcentral. Lineage: Eukaryota; Fungi; Basidiomycota.
AAAGUCGUAACAAGGUUUCCGUAGGUGAACCUGCGGAAGGAUCAUUAAUGAAAAACAAGUCGAUGGAUUGUGCUGGCGCUCUGCGCAUGUGCAUGUCUGUCGCAAAUCCACACACCUGUGCACUUUAGACUCGGAGUGAGCAGCCUUAGGGUUUGCACCUCGGAGUAUUUUUUACACACACUGCAUGUAAAAGGAUGAUGUUAGUGCUUAUGCACAAAAAACAUACAACUUUCAACAACGGAUCUCUUGGCUCUC